CACUAUGCCUAGCCAUAAACAUUGAUGAUAUCUUACAAUUAUCAUCCGCCUGGGAACUACGAGCAUCAGCUUAAAACCCAAAGGACUUGGCGGUGCUUUAGACCCACCUAGAGGAGCCUGUUCUAGAACCGAUAACCCCCGUUCAACCUCACCCUUCCUUGUUCUUCCCGCCUAUAUACCACCGUCGUCAGCUUACCCUGUGAAGGACUAAUAGUAAGCAAAACUGGCAAAGCCCAAAACGUCAGGUCGAGGUGUAGCGUAUGGAAGGGGAAGAAAUGGGCUACAUUCACUAACUCAGUGCACACGAAUGACACCCUGAAACACGUGUCUGAAGGAGGAUUUAGCAGUAAGCAGAAAAUAGAGUGUUCUACUGAAACUGGCCCUGAAGCGCGCACACACCGCCCGUCACUCUCCCCGAGCUAAGACUUUCAAGUAAAUAAAUAACCACAAUUGCAAAGGGGAGGCAAGUCGUAA
This 474-nucleotide ribosomal RNA is filed under the name Acanthurus leucocheilus (palelipped surgeonfish). RNAcentral describes it as "partial small subunit ribosomal RNA". It matches the Rfam family "Bacterial small subunit ribosomal RNA", at positions 788 to 1491 of the family's 1533-position model. Lineage: Eukaryota; Metazoa; Chordata; Actinopteri; Acanthuriformes; Acanthuridae. The record is from RNAcentral.